CACACACACACACACACACACAACCUUCCUGCCACAAUCCUUCCCCUUUCAGCCCAACCAACCCCCUACCAUCCCCUCUGUACCGGACUAUCUGCUACUGCUACGACGACAUUCCUUCAUUCACUGCAGCGUUUGGCCUUAAUGGCAGAUUUGCAUAACACACACACACACACACACUUGUCGGACGGGGAGCUUGAAGCAGGAGCCAGGAAGAAGAAACACUCAACACAUAAGUGGAGGUCGUGACCUCUGGGUCACAGCUGCAGACCCGUUGGUUUCAGUCGUGUUUCGAGUCACCUGAGGUCGUCGGUCCAAUAUUCAUUCUCUUUUUGCUCCGUUUCUGGUCUCCAUCAGCUCCUAUAAGGUGGUGAGACUGAUGUGAAACACUAAAGUUCUAUAUUUAAUGAAAAUAAAAAAGUUUCACUAUGAUUGUCCAGUUUCUCUUUACAAAUCUCUCUCUUAAUGUCACGUUUGAAUCAGUCAGACUUUUGAUAAAUUGAACCUCAAGUUGAGACCACUGCUUGAAGCUAUGUUUUUAUUUUGACUGCCAUUAUCAAAAUUCUUGGUUUAAUUGCCGCUUUUGCAUGGAGCCGUAAACCCCCCAGGCCCCAACAGCAGUGGAGGUCUAUAAAAACAAAGGCAGCUUGUCUAUGGGUUUAAGGUUUAUGGUGCCUUGUCGAAUGGUAACCUGUUGCCAAGCUGAUUAUGAAACAAACUGCUUCAGGGAAAAUUCCAGGUGCUGAGUUAUAUCAUCAGUCAGCGCUUUCCUGAAGUAAUUUUAUAACUGUAUUGAUUGUACAAUUGAGUUAACCCCAAUCUCUGAAUACGUGCGUAACGAAAUAGAUAGUUUGCCCUUUUUUUCAUGAACUAGAAUCAAACGCAGGUGCAUAUUAAAGCAUGUUCUGAGGUGGAAACUGUAUGUUAGUGCAUGUUAGCGUGCAUGUUAGCAUGUUAGUGUAACCCCCCUCCAGCUAUCACUUUAGAGAAAUGUGUCUGUUAGCGUAUGUCAGUGUAUGUUAGUGUGUCUGUUAGCGUAUGUUAGUUCAAGUUAGCGUGUGUGUUAGUGUAUGUCAGU
Gasterosteus aculeatus aculeatus (three-spined stickleback) is the source of this 1075-nucleotide long non-coding RNA. Lineage: Eukaryota; Metazoa; Chordata; Actinopteri; Perciformes; Gasterosteidae. The record is from Ensembl.